AUGUCACUCGCGCACAGCAAACUUACCACGCUGACUAAUCGAAAAAUAAUCUCGGAGCGGACACGGAAUGGCGAAACCUCCCCGACGAGUGAUUAUUUUCGCUCGUCGCCGCGAGUAGGAGUGCAUCUAACAGCAGCAAGGAGAGAAGGAAGAAGGCAUUGCUCGCUGGCACAACAUCCUGCAGCUUGCCCGAUAAAAAUAAAAGGUGCCAGUACUGGUGCAGCAGGGUGCGGAGCAUUCCAUCCAUGGCCGUGCCCUCACAGAGGAGCAUCCCUGGCGGCGCCGACUCUGCCCUCGCCAGACACGAAAAAGGGCGCUGCCCGUGGCUCGUGGUCGCGCAAACAGGGGCCCCUUUCGAGUGCAAAGCCGGGCCCCAUUUCCCUUGCAAAGAGCAGAGCAAAGAAGCGCGCGGCCGGCCUCUCGCUCGGAGGAGAGAGACUGCCGAGGAAUCGGUCGGCGGCGGCGGUGGCGACGACGAGAGCGCAGCGCAGUUGCCGGCUCAAUAACCCCAGCUGUUGUUCCCGGAAAAUAUGAUAUUGUGACGACACCACACCGAACGAGUGUAUGGACUUCUAGAAUCAGGGAGGAGGAGCCAGACGAACACGCUCGGUGCACCCGAGGGGCCCCGCGCGCGCCACCUUCGGCGUCCCUUAACGCAGGCAGGGGUGCCAAAUUGGUCAGCAACAACACCAAACAACCACUCAUUCGUCUGGUUAAUUUGAAGAUUUGAAGGGGAGGAAAAUGCUUCUCUCCAUCAAGGAGAGGAUAAAAAACGAUUCGAGAGAUUUCGAAAAACGUUUAGCAUUCUACGUAAAUGAUAACGUCCGCGGCUUGUGGGAAUAAUAAUAGGGUCAGAUUACGGCACUCGGAGAAUAUGGAUCUGGGCAAGUCGUGAGGUUUUCAUUUAAAUUUGUGAAAAUCCAAGUCAUUCAGUUGUCAAUGCAUCUAUUAAAAACGCAAUCUCAACAAAGUAAAUUUGCAUAAAACUUUUUUUUGUAAAUACCAAGAACUUCUAGUGCAUAAUUGAUUCUUUUAUUAAGAAUUGAAAUUUCGAGCGAAAAUAAAUAAUCAAUUUUUCAACAAAAAAUUGUAAAAUUUCAAGCUCUUUUGCUCAAACUAAAUAAGUUUGAUUGUGUGCUCUAUCUAAAAAGACCAAAACUCCAUUAAUUUUUAUUAUAUUUUUUUUUCAUUUUGCCACCUCGGGAGAAUGGUCAGUUUUCAAGAGAACGUCAAUUAAAUUAUCACCUUGGCCAUACUUGCAAAUAAUACAAACGAGCGCUUAAAAGAGGCCCUCCUCGUGACUUUGCAGACGAAAAGAGUCGCUAUUUAAAAUAAUUCACCCUUGGCCUCAAUUGGAAUCUGUUCGCUUCAGAGGUGAUAAGAAUUUUAAGAGGCUCGCACGCGCGAUUACGCGCUCUUUAAUUUCAUUAGCGUCGCCAAUAUCGGGUGAUGUCACCAAGUUGGCGAAACUUUGCAAUCUCACUCCAAACAAUCAAAAAGCAAUUUUUAUUUUUGUGCGUUCAAAACUUGAAAAAUUAAAAUAUAAUUAAUGUUAUAAUUGAAAAAUAGCUAUUCCAAUCAAUUUCAAUCAGUAAAACAAUACUUGAUUUUCAUCAGUGCAAAUUAAAUUGUAAGGCAAACACAUUUAAAACGACUCCACAAAGAGAAAGUACAUCAUGUAUUUAUUUGUACUGACGAAUAUUCCGAAUAAAAAGUGACACUCUCUCUCGAGAGCCCAUCUGCUAAUUUCCACGACAAUCUACUUGACAGACACAACCGGCCCCACGUAUUGACUUUUGGUGCGUCCGAAAAUAAAAGCAGCCAAGGCGAAAUUCUUCUGCCACGGAAUAAAAUAUGUUUAUUGAAAAAGUUUGAUGCUCUCUUAAAUACAAUCGCC
Molecule: long non-coding RNA, 1897 nt
Organism: Neocloeon triangulifer
Lineage: Eukaryota; Metazoa; Arthropoda; Insecta; Ephemeroptera; Baetidae
Exons: 3
Source: RefSeq, a predicted model, not a curated record